Molecule: ribosomal RNA, 492 nt
Filed under: uncultured bacterium
Lineage: Bacteria
Description: partial 16S ribosomal RNA
Rfam family: Bacterial small subunit ribosomal RNA
Source: RNAcentral
AGUGAACGCUGGCGGUAGGCCUAACACAUGCAAGUCGAACGGCAGCACAGUAAGAGCUUGCUCUUACGGGUGGCGAGUGGCGGACGGGUGAGGAAUACAUCGGAAUCUACUUUUUCGUGGGGGAUAACGUAGGGAAACUUACGCUAAUACCGCAUACGACCUACGGGUGAAAGCAGGGGAUCUUCGGACCUUGCGCGAUUGAAUGCGCCGAUGUCGGAUUAGCUAGUUGGCGGGGUGAAGGCCCACCAAGGCGACGAUCCGUAGCUGGUCUGAGAGGAUGAGCAGCCACACUGGAACUGAGACACGGUCCAGACUCCUACGGGAGGCAGCAGUGGGGAAUAUUGGACAAUGGGCGCAAGCCUGAUCCAGCCAUACUGCGUGGGUGAAGAAGGCCUUCGGGUUGUAAAGCCCUUUUGUUGGGAAAGAAAAGCAGCAGGUUAAUACCCCGCUGUUCUGACGGUACCCAAAGAAUAAGCACCGGCUAACUUCGUG